GAUGAACGCUGGCGGCGUGCCUAACACAUGCAAGUCGAACGAAGCACCUUACCUGAUUCUUCGGAUGAAAGUUUGGUGACUGAGUGGCGGACGGGUGAGUAACGCGUGGGUAACCUGCCCUGUACAGGGGGAUAACAGCUGGAAACGGCUGCUAAUACCGCAUAAGCGCACGAGGAGACAUCUCCUUGUGUGAAAAACUCCGGUGGUACAGGAUGGGCCCGCGUCUGAUUAGCUGGUUGGCAGGGUAACGGCUUACCAAGGCAACGAUCAGUAGCCGGUCUGAGAGGAUGAACGGCCACAUUGGAACUGAGACACGGUCCAAACUCCUACGGGAGGCAGCAGUGGGGAAUAUUGCACAAUGGGGGAAACCCUGAUGCAGCAACGCCGCGUGAGUGAAGAAGUAUUUCGGUAUGUAAAGCUCUAUCAGCAGGGAAGAUAAUGACGGUACCUGACUAAGAAGCUCCGGCUAAAUACGUG
Molecule: ribosomal RNA, 477 nt
Filed under: uncultured bacterium
Lineage: Bacteria
Description: partial 16S ribosomal RNA
Rfam family: Bacterial small subunit ribosomal RNA
Source: RNAcentral